Molecule: transfer RNA, 72 nt
Filed under: Streptomyces phage WRightOn
Lineage: Duplodnaviria; Heunggongvirae; Uroviricota; Caudoviricetes
Also listed under: 3 other names
Description: tRNA-Arg
Source: RNAcentral
AGCUGCCUCGGUGAAGGACGCAGUCCCGCCUCCUAAGCGGGUUCAUCAGGGUUCGACUCCCUGCGAGGCUAC